Molecule: ribosomal RNA, 466 nt
Filed under: uncultured bacterium
Lineage: Bacteria
Description: partial 16S ribosomal RNA
Rfam family: Bacterial small subunit ribosomal RNA
Source: RNAcentral
GAUGAACGCUGGCGGCGUGCUUAACACAUGCAAGUCGAACGAUGAAGCCCAGCUUGCUGGGUGGAUUAGUGGCGAACGGGUGAGUAACACGUGAGUAACCUGCCCUUGACUCUGGGAUAAGCCUGGGAAACUGGGUCUAAUACUGGAUAUGACUUCUCAUCGCAUGGUGGGGGGUGGAAAGAUUUAUUGGUCUCGGAUGGACUCGCGGCCUAUCAGCUUGUUGGUGAGGUAAUGGCUCACCAAGGCGACGACGGGUAGCCGGCCUGAGAGGGUGACCGGCCACACUGGGACUGAGACACGGCCCAGACUCCUACGGGAGGCAGCAGUGGGGAAUAUUGCACAAUGGGCGCAAGCCUGAUGCAGCGACGCCGCGUGAGGGAUGACGGCCUUCGGGUUGUAAACCUCUUUCAGUAGGGAAGAAGCGAGAGUGACGGUACCUGCAGAAGAAGCGCCGGCUAACUACGUG